This 313-nucleotide ribosomal RNA is filed under the name uncultured Bacteroidales bacterium. RNAcentral's name for it is "bacterial SSU rRNA". It matches the Rfam family "Bacterial small subunit ribosomal RNA", at positions 28 to 339 of the family's 1533-position model. Lineage: Bacteria; Pseudomonadati; Bacteroidota; Bacteroidia; Bacteroidales. The record is from RNAcentral.
GAUGAACGCUAGCGGCAGGCUUAACACAUGCAAGUCGAGGGGCAGCGGGGGUAGCAAUACCCGCCGGCGACCGGCGAAAGGGUGCGUAACGCGUGAGCAACCUGCCCGCAUCCGGGGCAUAAGCGGUGGAAACGCCGUCUAAUUUCCCAUAACAACGAGGGCCGCAUGACCCACGUUUGAAAGAUCCGUCGGAUGCGGAUGGGCUCGCGAGACAUUAGCUAGUCGGCGUGGUAACGGCACACCGAGGCGACGAUGUCUAGGGGUUCUGAGAGGAAGGUCCCCCACACUGGAACUGAGACACGGUCCAGACUCC